CCAGUUUUUGCACAUUCUUGAAGCCCAAUUUUGACAAGCCCAUCAAGACAAAAAAACCCUAGACUAUCUCUUCUUCUUCUUUGACCUAAGAAAACCUAAUCCUAGCCGCAAAAAAAACCAAGCUAAACCCUACACACUACAAAAACCCUAGAAAAAAGGAAAAACCUAUCAGCCAUUCUUGCUCCUUCAACAAAGAGACGUUGAAAAACCCUACAAUACCUAUAUAGCUGCCACCCCAUCUCCAACCCCAAAAAUUCACCGGAAAACGACCACAGCUGCUCUUCGCUGUCCUCCUCCAACGUCGCUGGUUUUCCUCCAUCGCUAGCCAGUCCACGAUCAGCAUCCAGUUUUGUCGACCACCGUCGCCCGUCGCUGCUCCACCGAACCAGCCCAGCUUCCUCUCCAGUCGACGCCUCUCCCUCCUCACGUCCAAGCCAUAACCAUGGUCGAACCUCCAGUCACUCGUCAAGCAACCAGAACAAACCAGCGACAUCCUUCAACUGGAACACCCAUUACCUAUUUCGUCUCCAGUCUGCUUCUGCCAUGGCAUUCGAUUCAUUUAUUCCUUCUCUGAUUUUGUUACAAGUUCACCCGUAUAAUCAAAGCAACAGCAUGAGGGAAAUCGAAAUGGAGUGACUAAUGUAUUUGGGUUCAACUCGAAGUCUCUCGGCUCCGAUUUGAGUUUCCGUCCGCGGUUCUGGUGUUUUUGUUUCAAAGUUGCCGUGCAAGAAACUUCAGGUUCAUUAAGAUUGAUUUCUCAUUUCCUUUUACUUUGUGUUUGAUUAACAUCAUGCUUUUACUAUUUUGUUAAUUCAUCACUGCUCUGUUUAUUUUUUCUCUGAAUGUCACUUUGUUGUUUUUGUUUGUGUUUAAUCUGAUUGGAUGAAUUUUGAUAAUUAAAGUGAGC
This 907-nucleotide long non-coding RNA is filed under the name Nicotiana benthamiana. RNAcentral describes it as "long non-coding RNA (NBEN_LNC022078)". Lineage: Eukaryota; Viridiplantae; Streptophyta; Magnoliopsida; Solanales; Solanaceae. The record is from RNAcentral.